This 884-nucleotide ribosomal RNA is filed under the name Rhodococcoides fascians. Its description in RNAcentral is "bacterial SSU rRNA". It matches the Rfam family "Bacterial small subunit ribosomal RNA", at positions 220 to 1105 of the family's 1533-position model. The record is from RNAcentral. Lineage: Bacteria; Bacillati; Actinomycetota; Actinomycetes; Mycobacteriales; Nocardiaceae.
GUCAGGAUGGCCCGCGGCCUUUCAGCUUGUUGGUGGGGUAAUGGCCUACCAAGGGGACGACGGGUAGCCGACCUGAGAGGGUGACCGCCACACUUGGGACUGAGCACGGCCCCAGAUCCUUACGGGAGCAGCAGUGGGGAAUAUUGCACAAUGGGCGGAAGCCUGAUGCAGCGACGCCGCGUGAGGGAUGAAGGCCUUCGGGGUUGUAAACUUUUCAGCAGGGACGAAGCGUGAGUGACGGUACCUGCAGAAGAAGCACCGGCUAAUACGUGCCAGCAGCCGCGGUAAUACGUAGGGUGCGAGCGUUGUCCGGAAUUACUGGGCGUAAAGAGUUCGUAGGCGGUUUGUCGCGUCGUUUGUGAAAACCCGGGGCUCAACUUCGGGCUUGCAGGCGAUACGGGCAGACUUGAGUGUUUCAGGGGAGACUGGAAUUCCUGGUGUAGCGGUGAAAUGCGCAGAUAUCAGGAGGAACACCGGUGGCGAAGGCGGGUCUCUGGGAAACAACUGACGCUGAGGAACGAAAGCGUGGGUAGCAAACAGGAUUAGAUACCCUGGUAGUCCACGCCGUAAACGGUGGGCGCUAGGGGUGGGUUCCUUCCACGGGAUCUGUGCCGUAGCUAACGCAUUAAGCGCCCCGCCUGGGGGAGUACGGCCGCAAGGCUAAAACUCAAAGGAAUUUGACGGGGGGCCCGCACAAGCGGCGGAGCAUGGGGAUUAAUUCGAUGCAACGCGAAGAACCUUAACCUGGGGUUUGACAUACACUCGGAAAACCGUAAGAGAUACGGUCCCCCCUUGUGGGUCGGUGGUACAGGGUGGGGCAUGGGCUGUCGUCAGCUCGUGUCGUGAAAUGUUUGGGGUUAAGUCCCCGCAACCAGCGCAACCCU